AUCCUCUCUAAAAUCCUACUGACAAUAUAAGAAGAUUCAUAAAAUGUCCACAGAAAUCAGAGCAGGUGUCAUUCGGACUAAGCUGGCUCUAUUUCUCACUAUGAUUAACCAGCUCGUAAUGACAACAUUUCUUAUCUUACAACUGUGGCAUGAAGAGGGAGCUGUAGCUCUUCUGAGACACAAUUCUGCACACCCCAGCUUAUCCACGCUCUGCGAUCUCGUGUCUGUUUCUCUCUCUCUCUCUCUCUCUCUCUCUCUCUCUCUCUCUCUCUCUCUCUCUCUCUCUCUCUCUCUCUCUCUCUCAUCAUUUUAACCAUUGUACCAGCUCCAUUUAAAUGUAUCUGCGGAGGAUCUGGUCAAGUGGAGAUAAUCCAUGCAAAUCAGAAACUGGUUGUCAGUGUGUGGUUCCCGGAGAGGACUCAGCCUGAGGAGGUCACUCGUUCACAGCCGCUCCUCCCAUUCUAUCUCUCCCCUUAUUGCAGAACUGCUGUAUGUAUACAGUAGCAGAAAGGACUCAAUUGACUUCAACUGCUGCCUGGCUUUGCUUACAACUUUUUCUUAUAAAGGAACUUACCUCCAUCUGUCUCUUGAAGGUGGCUGGCUACUUCCUCUAAACUCCACAACUCAUUCGAAAGACUAUGGAGCCUACAUAGUUUCUAAAGACAAACGAUGAAUUUCAAAAUCUACUUCCUCCAGGAGCUGAGGUUUGCGAAGCCGGGAUGGAAUGGACCAGGUAAAAGUCAGGAGUUUGGGCCACUGCUUCAAACUGCUCAGAUCAUCUCACAGUAACCAUUAAUCAGCGAAUUCAACUACA
This 814-nucleotide long non-coding RNA is filed under the name Mus spicilegus (steppe mouse). RNAcentral describes it as "lncRNA (ENSMSIG00000014898.1)". The record is from RNAcentral. Lineage: Eukaryota; Metazoa; Chordata; Mammalia; Rodentia; Muridae.